RNAcentral lists this small RNA (130 nucleotides) under Arabidopsis thaliana (thale cress). RNAcentral's name for it is "ATSL274010". The record is from RNAcentral. Lineage: Eukaryota; Viridiplantae; Streptophyta; Magnoliopsida; Brassicales; Brassicaceae.
UCUAAUCUUAGCACAUAGGGCGAUUUACCCCUUUCUUUGAAUUACAAUGCCUAACUUCUUUGAAUUCCAAACCCUUUACUAGACUUAACACUUUUGUAUCCCCCUUAGAACUCUAAACUCUUACUCUUUU